RNAcentral lists this ribosomal RNA (253 nucleotides) under uncultured bacterium. RNAcentral describes it as "partial 16S ribosomal RNA". It matches the Rfam family "Bacterial small subunit ribosomal RNA", at positions 524 to 776 of the family's 1533-position model. The record is from RNAcentral.
UACGUAGGGUCCGAGCGUUGUCCGGAAUUACUGGGCGUAAAGGGUGCGUAGGCGGAAAUGUAAGUUAGAUGUGAAAUCCCUGAGCUUAACUUAGGCAUAGCAUUUAAGACUGCAUAUCUAGAGUUUGUAAGAGGGGGGUAGAAUUCCAAGUGUAGCAGUGAAAUGCGUAGAGAUUUGGAGGAAUACCGAUGGCGAAGGCAGCCCCCUGGUAUAGAACUGACGCUGAGGCACGAAAGCGUGGGUAGCAAACAGG